Camelus dromedarius (Arabian camel) is the source of this 910-nucleotide long non-coding RNA. RefSeq lists it as uncharacterized. The transcript has 4 exons. Lineage: Eukaryota; Metazoa; Chordata; Mammalia; Artiodactyla; Camelidae. The record is from RefSeq and is a predicted model, not a curated record.
CAGGAACUUUUUUCAUUGCCUUGUUUUUCAGUUCUGGUUCCCUUAUGUAAGCAAGAGUAUAAGUAUUUUUCCAGAAGAACACAGGCACAGGGUUGGACAAUAUGAGAAGUUGCACCAAAGCUCGGAGCUAAGCAUUCUUUAUGAAUCUGGAUUCUAAUCCUUCAUCAGUCAGAGGGAACCAUGAGAAUUGAAAUAUUCGUACAAACUGGGGCUUGCUAAUUUGGUAGACUACAUGUGGAGUCAUUACUUCUGGCUAGAGAUCUAGAUUUGAAGCUGCAUGAAGGGUUUAGCCAGAGAAACGUAACAAUAAACAAAUCAUUCUGUCUGCUGAGUAAACUGAGUUGGGAAAAUCUAGACUGGAGGUGGAAGACCAGUCUGUAACUUCAGGCCUCAAGUAAGGAAAUGUCCACUGGGAUAGACAACAAUGAAUGGAAUGAAAAGCAUCAAGGAGGCAGAGUCACCAGGACCUAAUGAGUGAUUUGAUUUGGUGGGAAAGAGAAGGAAAAGGUAAGGAUGAUUGGCUGGCUCGAGGAAUGAUGUACCUGGUGGCACCAUUUGCUGAGAUGGGGAAUGCUGGAGGAAGAGGCUGGUGUCGAGGCUGCAGAUGAGUUAAACUGGGGGCAGAGAUUUCUAAAUCACAGGCUUAAAGUAAUAAUUGGAACAGUCUAGUAAAUGAGAUCACACAGGCAGGUGUAGAAGCAAAAGAGAACAUACAAAUAUAAACAUAAAAGUAAUUGCUGUUAUUACAAGAUGUUUAUGGAGAAACCGUAAAAACAUUUAACAAACCUUUUAAGAUCAAAAGCUUAAUACAGUACUUUGAAGAAAAUUAGACCCCGACUUCAAGUUAUAAGAUGAACUUAUUUUCCCACUUUACCAAGGAACAUUUCAAAGGGGAAAAAUCCUGCUUAGC